Molecule: ribosomal RNA, 253 nt
Filed under: uncultured bacterium
Lineage: Bacteria
Description: partial 16S ribosomal RNA
Rfam family: Bacterial small subunit ribosomal RNA
Source: RNAcentral
UACGUAGGUGGCGAGCGUUGUCCGGAAUUACUGGGUGUAAAGGGAGCGCAGGCGGGGAGACAAGUCAGCUGUGAAAUAUAUGGGCUUAACCCAUAAACUGCAGUUGAAACUGUUUUUCUUGAGUGGAGUAGAGGUAGGCGGAAUUCCGAGUGUAGCGGUGAAAUGCGUAGAUAUUCGGAGGAACACCAGUGGCGAAGGCGGCCUACUGGGCUCUAACUGACGCUGAGGCUCGAAAGUGUGGGGAGCAAACAGG